This 492-nucleotide ribosomal RNA is filed under the name uncultured bacterium. RNAcentral describes it as "partial 16S ribosomal RNA". It matches the Rfam family "Bacterial small subunit ribosomal RNA", at positions 29 to 507 of the family's 1533-position model. The record is from RNAcentral.
AGUGAACGCUGGCGGUAGGCCUAGCACAUGCCAGUCGAACGGCAGCACAGUAAGAGCUUGCUCUUACGGGUGGCGAGUGGCGGACGGGUGAGGAAUACAUCGGAAUCUACUUUUUCGUGGGGGAUAACGUAGGGAAACUUACGCUAAUACCGCAUACGACCUACGGGUGAAAGCAGGGGAUCUUCGGACCUUGCGCGAUUGAAUGAGCCGAUGUCGGAUUAGCUAGUUGGCGGGGUAAAGGCCCACCAAGGCGACGAUCCGUAGCUGGUCUGAGAGGAUGAUCAGCCACACUGGAACUGAGACACGGUCCAGACUCCUACGGGAGGCAGCAGUGGGGAAUAUUGGACAAUGGGCGAAAGCCUGAUCCAGCCAUACCGCGUGGGUGAAGAAGGCCUUCGGGUUGUAAAGCCCUUUUGUUGGGAAAGAAAAGCAGCAGGUUAAUACCCCGCUGUUCUGACGGUACCCAAAGAAUAAGCACCGGCUAACUUCGUG